RNAcentral lists this unclassified non-coding RNA (252 nucleotides) under uncultured Botryosphaeriales. RNAcentral's name for it is "sequence contains 5.8S rRNA gene". The stretch from base 1 to 53 matches the Rfam family "5.8S ribosomal RNA", at positions 102 to 154 of the family's 154-position model. Lineage: Eukaryota; Fungi; Ascomycota; Dothideomycetes; Botryosphaeriales. The record is from RNAcentral.
GAACGCACAUUGCGCCCUCUGGUAUUCCGGAGGGCACACCUGUUCGAGCGUCAUUACACAAAUCAAGCCCUGCUUGGUGUUGGGUGAGGCCCUUUGGGGCCCGCCUCAAACCCCUCGGCGUCGCCGUCCGUCUUCGAGCGCAGCGAGAUAACUUUCCAGCGUUUUCGAGAUGGGCCACGUCCGCCGCAGAACACACCUUUUUUUCUAUCAAGGUUGACCUCGGAUCAGGUGGGGAUACCCGCUGAACUUAAG